This is a non-coding RNA of Chlorocebus sabaeus (green monkey), 2120 nucleotides long. Lineage: Eukaryota; Metazoa; Chordata; Mammalia; Primates; Cercopithecidae. The record is from RefSeq and is a predicted model, not a curated record.
UGUGUGCGUAUAUAUGUGUGUAUAUAUGUGGAUGUAUGUAUAUAUAUUUAUGUGUGUAUAUGCAUGUGUGUGUGUGUGUGCACACUCAGAGACCCAUAGGAAACAAAAGCACAGGACACCUGCUGCUGUUCCAUCAGAGACAAGCUGGCAUGUAAACAGAAGUCUACAUACACAUUUAGGAGCUAUGGCUGCAUUCUCUCUUCUUGCCCAAUAACAGUUAGACCCUCACUGCAUUCCAUUCGGUUCCAUGUCCCCUGAAGAGUAUUAAACACACAUUACUGUGUGCCUUUAAGUACAUCACAACCCCUCUGAGCUUCAAUUUUCUUACCUGCCAAAGAAAAAAACAAAGCCUAGCCUACCACCUCAUUUCAUUGCUAUAGGAUAAUAACAGCUGACAUUGUACAUUUAAACACUGUACAUAUAUUAAUUAUUUUAAUCUUUGAAACAACCCUAUCAGAUUGGUACGAUUAUUAGCCUCCAUUUGACAGAAAAGGAAACUGAGGCCACAGAACUGUUCCAUAACUUGCCCAAUGUCACCCAGCAAAGGAGGGAUUUGAGCUGCGACGAUCUGGUUCCAGCAACUAUGCUCUUAACCCCUUUGUUCAAUAGCACGAUGUCUGAAAGCACUGAACGUGUUUGGAAAUGUUCUGUAAAUGAAUGGCGCCAUUCUUAUUCUUGCUAGGACUGUUCCCACUGGGAAUGAUGCAACGCAGGGUCAGGAUUCCCUGGGUGAGGAUAAAUCCUGCAGCCUCAGAUCUGCAGCCCCGCUAGCCAGGGUACCAGGUGAAGCCAGAGGAUGAGGACCAAGAAGACCAAGAGGCAGGGUGAACUACUUUCUCAAGUUCAGAGCAAAGGGACGUGAAAAACAUGACCAUCUCCAACCGCACAGAGACCUCGAGCCCAGCACAGAAGUGGUUCAUCAGGAGACCGGGCAAGAUGAGAGGCUAACAGCCCAUCUGUCUUCCUUCCCCACGGCCUCCGUCUGGGAAGAUCCCUCUCCCUGCCAACUGCCAAGCUCCAGACCUUAUUCUGCCAUGAGCUCUCUGUGCAACCCGAGGCAAAAUACGAAGUGAGAUGGAGAGAGGAACUCCUACCACCUAGUAAACGGAUUUCUUUUCCUCCCCUAAGUGACCGUGACAAGGUAGGAUUGGAGUACACUUUCCUUCCCACUUCCUUCCCACGGCAAUAACACACAGUCAAACCCAUGUGAGCUAGGAUGGCAGCUCCAGCUAGAUUGUCCCGGAAGGACCACACUCUCUGGGAAUCUAUCUUGGAAUGGAUGUCGAGUUGCAGGCAGAUAGAAAUUCUGCCGCAAGCAAGGGCUCAGCCAGUGGAGAGGAGAAACGACAAGCCGCAGGACUGGCUGGUGCAUCUGAGGAAAGCACCACGGGAAGGGAAGGGAGGGUCCGGUGCGCAUAAGGUGAAGAAGGCCAAGAGGAGAUCAGAGUCUGGGAGAGAAUCACUGAAAGGUUCAGUAAGACAAAUGAAGGCCGUUACCGCCCACUUCUUUUGUUUACCCAAAGCACCAAAGACUGCUGGGACCUCAUCAUAGGGCUGUUAAGCAUCAAUAACAACUGUAGGGGGAGCGUGAGGAGGGGGUUAGGAAAAAUGAAACCUUUAUGUACCCACAAAAAAAAAUUUCAAAAAAUUCAAAAAUAAAAUAAUAACCAUAGUAGAUACAUCAAUAAAACCUUGGGCCCUAUGCAAUCUCUUAAGGAAUUCUGAGUUUACAGCUGUAGGGAUUUGGUGGGGUUUUUGGUUUGUAGGAACUUUUCUUGGAGUUUUUUUCUUUUUGCCAGCAAACUGUAAGUUCCUUGGGCAAGCUCAAGGCCAUAGUCCUAUAUAAUGAAUAAUGUUCAACAUAUAUAUCAUAGCUCAAUGCAUGCUAAUUAUGCCCUGCACUUACCCAAAAAACUGGCAUGACACAUCUUUAGAGGAAAAAAGAAAAAAGCAUGUAACUCUCGUAACAAUUUGAUGUCAAAACAAAGCGCGCGCGCGCGCGCGCACACGCACACACACACACACACACACACACACACACACACACCAGUUCGUGAUAUUGUGCAUGAAUAGCAAGGAUAAACUGCGUGUAAGCUCUGAAGUGUCCCCAUGUGGCAGAA